This 2487-nucleotide long non-coding RNA is filed under the name Sus scrofa (pig). RNAcentral describes it as "lncRNA (ENSSSCG00050065676.1)". The record is from RNAcentral. Lineage: Eukaryota; Metazoa; Chordata; Mammalia; Artiodactyla; Suidae.
CCUUACAAAUCUCCCAGAGGCCUUGCAAAUAUAAACAGACUUCAGCUUUUUCAUGUUCCUCAUGCCCAGAAACUGGGACAUUAAGAUGCCAGGGACCCUUCCCAUAUGGAAACCAUGUCAUAAGUGCAGGAGAAAUUCUCAAUUGACCGAGAGAACUUCUAUGGUGCUGCCAAAGGGCCAGAUGCAUCUUUCAAAAGAAUAUGGAUUUGGCUCAGAAAAAAACAGGUGGCCUCGGCUUCCAAGGAGAAGGGCAGGUGGGGUGACAUGGCAGGCCAUGCCCCGUCCCCUGGGCCCACAUCUCCUCCAAAUACAACACUGUGUCACCACUAGGCUGGGCAGCCCUGCAGGACACGUGGCUCUCCUGAAGAGGAGGACAGAGACUGCAAGGAUUCAAUCCGGGGCCAUGUGCAAAAUGAACCCCACGCAAUUACAUGGGGAGAACGUGAUAUUGCAGAAGGCGUAAAAUUGUUUUACGGCACUUGAGAUUUUUUGUUUCAGAGAAAUUGAACAGAGAUGAGGGGGGAAAACUGCUGCAUUCAAAAAAGGUCUCGUGAUGCAGGAUACCAGAAAAUAAAACUUUUUUUUGUUUAACCAAUAGAGACAACAAAGAGCAAUUGUUUCUUCUAUUGCCAUCUACCAAACCAUCAACUAUGUGAUCUUUUGCCCUAAUCAUGAGCUUUCAAUGUCUCCGUUCCUGUGCCUUCAUUUUCACACACUCUUGUGAAACUGGAGUGAUGUUCUGGCCUGAAAUGAUGGCUAAGGGAUUUUUGCUGUUGUUAGUGAGCUUUUGUGUAUUUUUAAUUUUUUAAGAAAGCUCUUCAUUGUUAAGAAAGAUGAACCUAUCUUCAGAACAGAAAGAGACUCACAGACAUGGAGAGCAAACUUAUGGUUGCCAAGGAAGACAGGGAACGAGUGGGAUGGACUGGGAGUUAGGAAUUGGUAGAUGCAGACUAUCACAUGUAGAACAGAUAGGCAAUGAGGUCCUGCUGUGGAGUACAGGGAGCUACAUCCAAUCACUUGUGAUAGAACAGGGUGGAAGAUAAUAUGAGAAAAAGAAUGUGGGAGUUCCCAUCAUGGCACAGUGGAAACAAAUCCGACUAGGAACCAUGAGGUUAUGGGUUCGAUCCCUGGCCUUGCUCAGUGGGUUAAGGAUCCGGCGUUGCUGUGAGCUGUGGUGUAGGUCACAGACGCAGCUCGGAUCUGGCAUUGCUGCAGCUCACACCUGAGCAUCUUGCCUCUGGUAAUGAGAUCUCAGGGCACAGCUUCCUUCCCACCCAGCCGCAGGGCCAGAUGAACAGGGCCGGGAGACGUGACCGUGGCUGUGACUGUGUGCAGCAUGGCUGCCCUGCCCUUCCUCUCCACCUCACUCCACCUCGAGCCACCCCACUGGGCUCACUCUCAGUUGCUCAAUGCCUAGAAGGCAGGAAUGCAUCCUUCACUUCUGCUCCGCUCUGCACCUAGAAAAUUCCUCUCUCGUGGAAGACGCCUCAUAAACAUUCAUUUCCUGGCAGUAACAGUAUCUACAGAUUCACAGACAGUGACACGCUGCCUGGGAUAUAGCUCUUUCUGCUUUCGUUUGCCUCUGUCCUCUAAGACACAAAUAUCGGGGAUGGUACAAAGAAAAUCUCUAGAUGAAAAUUCUGAAUUCCUGCUUCCCUUUCCUCCUUGGCAUCAGUCUGAAUUAAAGAGUGAAAGGAAUCUCAAUGUCUUUUCUCCAGAUUUUUUUUUUUUCAUUCUCAAUACAGCACAUCAGUUCCCUUUCCUGCACUCAUGCAGUAGGCAACAGCUAAAAGAGAAAAAUCCCCAGUGCAAGAAAUGGAAACAUACUAUCUCAUGUUUUCCCUCUGUGGGUUGGCCAGCUGUCUGCUGCUUCGCGGGCUGAUGGAUGCUUGACAUAGCAUUCAGUGUUGCUUGAUACCCAGGAUUUAGUUAGGGGGACGAUGAUUAUGUUUAUAUUCCUUCGAAAAUAAUUCAGAAAUGUGCUAAACAGGAAAAAGAUAAUAGCAUUGUCCACGCAGAGGCCCGCCGACCCUUCUGGUUCCACUGCCGGCUCAUUGUCCAGCAGGUCCCAUUACAUUAAGCUGGGAAGCACAUCUGAGGAGAUGGAUGUGAAUGGUCUGGAAGGAGGGGUGACAAGUACAGGAGGACAAUUCGUUCUGGGACAAAAAGCCUCAGCUCAGAGACUCCCAUGGCUACGUCUACAGCCUAACCAGCCAUCUGCAUAAAACUUAGGGCUGUAAGAGCACCGGAUUGAACAGGAGGGGAGAAACUGGCCAUGGCAAUGGUGGGGGCAGUGAGAAGGGGGAGGCAGAGAAAGUGACUGUUUUCUUUAAUCAAGUGGCCGGUGGUAGCCAGAAAAGACUGUGAGGUCCCCUCAGGAAAGCUGGAGAUCAAUGCGCUACAGAGACGAGAUCAAUGAGCUACAGAGGGGGUAAACACCAGCCACCAUGGUCCACCAGCAGCCAUCACGUUCUCACCAACGUUCUU